UACGGAGGAUGCAAGCGUUAUCCGGAUUCAUUGGGUUUAAAGGGUGCGUAGGCGGCUUUUUAAGUCAGCGGUGAAAUUUUGCAGCUUAACUGUAACAGUGCCGUUGAUACUGGGGAGCUAGGAUUUGGUUGCUGUGGGUGGAAUGUGUGGUGUAGCGGUGAAAUGCUUAGAGAUCACACAGAAUAUCGAUUGCGAAGGCAGCUCACAAAGCCAAGAUUGACGCUGAGGCACGAAAGUGUGGGGAUCAAACAGGA
This 254-nucleotide ribosomal RNA is filed under the name uncultured prokaryote. RNAcentral describes it as "partial 16S ribosomal RNA". It matches the Rfam family "Bacterial small subunit ribosomal RNA", at positions 524 to 777 of the family's 1533-position model. The record is from RNAcentral.